UACCUCAUGGGUUUUCUUUUGAGUAUAAUAUUGCAUAGAUUUAUUGGAGGAUUUUUGAGAUUGAAAUCCGGCCACUAUUCACAAAUUGGGGUUUACUGUUUUCUUAAUUGUUGAGGUAGUUCUUGUUGUUUUCUGGCUUGGUGGUAGUUGAAAGAAGUGUUAAGGAUGUUGAGAUGAAGCCGCUGUCAAAAUUUGGUGACCAUCGGAGGAGUUGGCCGACGAGUGAACAGUGCCGCCGAGUGAACAGUGCGGGUGACGUAUCAAAUUACUACUGGGUGAAGGAGCUCUUAUGCGUGGUUGCCUAAAUAGUACUUUUGCAGGCUAGAUUAGUUGAGGUCGGGCGUACAUGGAGUCGAGGCAUAGCCAACAGCAUUGCUUCCGCGUACUCAUUCUAUUUCUGUUUUCUGUGAUACCUAAUAGAUUAAUAUUGCUCUGAUAAGCUGUGGGAUUAAUAUUGUUUUUGGGUUGAGACUGUUAUUUGAGAAAUUGAAGUUGUGAUUUGGGGAGCAGGUGGCUCCAGGAGUAUAAGGUUGGUUUGUUUGAAGUACUUUGUGUCUUUCAACAGGUUUUGGGUAGUCCAUUUUAGGGGAAGUUCUGCCAAAUUUUUUGGUAGAAUUUCUUUUCAGGGGGAAAUUCGGGGCGGGUCCUGUCAGUUGGUAUCAGAGCAUUAGGUUGUUAGAUUCUGUAGACUUGUUUCUAUCCUGUUACCGUAUAUGCUUGAUGUUACUCAGUACCUCCCGAGUGAUGGCCCGACUGCAGCGGUUCCCCAUCAUAUACUCUUCGGUGCUGAAGUAUUCAUCAAGUGUGUACGGUACAUGUCUAAUUGGUUCUUUCUUUAGAUGUUAUGCCUCUUGUACGCCGACCUCCUAGAAAUGUCGUUGUGUAGCGGAGUGUUCGUAUGUUUUGCACAUUUCCCUGAUGAUGGUAGAGUAAGACUACUCUACAGAUUCGAGUUGUGCUGUGAAAUAUGAUUCGAGGAAAUGUUGUGGGUAUUUCUUCCUCAAUGCCAACAAGUUUGUUGGGGCAUGGUUUGAGGUGCGAGACCGGAAUUUUAUUUUGUGCUUGAUUGUUUGAGAUGAGUGUCCAUUGUUUUGGGCUGUCUCUGAGUAUUAUAAUUGAUUCAGAAUCAGGAUUGUUGUUGGAAUUGGAAUUAGUAAUAAUGAUGGUUAUGACUUUGAAUCGAGUUUGGGGAAUGUGUUACUUGACACGAUCGACCCUGUAAGUGGCAUGUGGAAUAUUACGGGAAUUCGAUGGAGAUUCUUUGUGAAUCUCAUUGUUGGAAAUCAUUUAUAGAGAAUCUAGAUUGAAAUGUAUCACAACUGGACACCUUAUGUCGGCGUCAUGUACGCAUCACCCUUUGGUAGACAACAGGGAAAAUUGAAGAAAUAUUCUGGGUUGUUAUGGCUAGAUGCUGUGUUUUCAAGUGGCUAUGGUCACUGAUGUUGAUAAGUGGGAAGUGAUAACAGUAAAUGAGAAUUGUAAGUAGGAUGAGAUUUUUAGAAAUUGUCAUUUUGAGUCGUACCCUAACCAGGGUGUAUGAGUAUAGUUUUGCUCGGAAUAAAAGAAUUGAUUUCAGAUACCACAACUUAUAGUUUUGUCUUCCUGAGUCUUAGAUGAUAACGAGUAGGGAGAUUAACAAGAGUGGGCUUUUGCAGUUUAUAUGUACUUGAAGUUCGAGAAUCGGAAGAAUGCUUAAGGUUUUAUAAUAGAGUUGCGACUUUGGUCGGUAAAUAAUUUGGAGAGUUGGAAUCAACUCUUCGUAUGUGAUAUUAUGCAAAUGGGUGUCCUUGGUUAUCCACUUUUGAGUGAAACAGUUACACAUAAGAUUGGGGAAUAGCGGUAAUGGCUUUGUUGGGUGUCCAUAGAAGUUCGAACGGAAUUACUAGGUGAUACGGAAUCUGAUUCGAGUUUUGAAUCACGUAGCCUUGAAGGUUGAAUUGUGAUAGGCUCUUGGUGGAAGUUUUGCCUGACGUAUGGGUUGUGAUAUGAUGUUAGUGGUUGGUGGAAUAAUUUUAAGGAAAUAAGUUUUCAGUUGGCUCCGGAAAUAUUUUAAGUCAAGGCUUGACCAGGACUCUUGUUAUUUUGGAUGGAAGGUAUUGUAGCCUGUUUUGAAGUGACGUACUUCAGUGAUCAUUACUUUGAGGAAAUUGGAUCAUUAUUGUGGUGGGACCACGUUCGGAUCCGGAUAUUGUUUGGUGUGAUACAAAAUGUUGGACGGGUGUCCUUUGAUUUAUGUUAAGGAUUGUCCAGGAAAGAUCUUGUGAAUUGUGCUAGCUACCUCGGGGAGUUGGUUAUUGUUUGAAUUGAAUACAUGUAAUGGAUUUUCUUUGAAGGAAUUGAGCGAGUUUUGCCACCCUGGUGGCCCUCAAUUGGAAAUGUAUCGGAAGUUGUUGGUACGAGUGAAAUCCGGUCACCACUUGUCUAACGGUAUGACGACUUGAACAGGAAGUAGGAGUUGAGUUGGAAUUAAUUGAUUGGGUUUAUGUUCUAUCAGGGUUUUAAUAGAUAUUUAAGUACUAAUUGUUGAGACACUAUGGUUGAGUUAUGUUAUUGGAUAAAUUCUUAGUGAGGGGAUUUGGAAAAGUUUUUGGUACAAUUUUGGUUAGCACAGGAAAGUUAUAGGGAUCCUUGUUGUAGCUGAAAUCUUAUAAGUUAAGUGUCGAUCGCGGAGCGGAUUUGCGGCUAUUUUAUCCUCUUUUCGGUAAGGACAAUCGUCGUUUAUUAGUAUUGGCCUUAAGUUAAAUAAGAAGUGUUGGCUAUAUUCUAGUACUUGCAAGUUCAACGUUGUUUGACAUGACUGAUUUCAAGUGUUGAAUUUCUUUUCUAGUUGGUCAACUUUGGAUCAGAUUUGGAGUAAUUUCUAGUGUUGUUGGUUACAUCAUAGUCCAUUAGAGGAUUUGACACAUACAGAAUUUAGAACUUUUCUAUAAUGUCGUACCUGUAAUAGAAUUGUCAGGUGGUGAUGUCGGACAGAUGGUUGGAAAUGUUCUACUUGGGGUUGGUGGAGCAGUUGGGAAAGAGAGUUUUCCUAGUUAUCUAAGGAAGCUAUUUUAUUUAAGUUUGAUCAGAAUUCCAGUCAAGUAUCUAAUAAUACGGAUAGUAGUGUUUUCGGUGGUGAGAAUUACAUUGGCAUAUGAAGUAGAAUUAUCAUUUGUGGCAUUGGAGGCCAGCGAGAACGACGUGGAUUCAACUAGAGGUUAGACCUAUGACUAUUAAAGAAGUGUAGCAUCAGCUAAGAACAGUUUUAGUGUGAUGCAUCUCCUCCUGGAUUUGAGUCUUUGGGCUGGAGUGGAGUGAGUAGUUACGGUUCUUGCUUUGUACCGGGUUUCGAACGACGUGGUACUCGUUGCGUACCAUUAAAUAAACACUAACAUGUAAGGAAUUUUAGCAGUUUUGAUUAGAGACAUUGGUAAUUAGUAGAUUCCUUGAAACACAUUUGAUCUAAAAGAGUUUUCCACUACAUUACAAUUAUAGAAAAUUUUCGAGGGAUUACGCUAGUUAGCCAGUUUGAGAUAUUAAGUGUGGCCAGCAGGGUAACUAUCAAAUGAGUUUUCCUUGUUGACUUGGAAUGUCAUUUCAAGGCGUGAUCAAUGUUCCUGUUAGUUAUCAGAGUAGCGCAGAUGAAGUGUAGUGGCCCCAUAACCUAUAUGAUUAAGAACUUAUGGGUUUGUUUGGGACUACCCUUUGUUAUGCUUGACAACUGUGAGACCUUUACGUGAAUGACAGUCGAUCAUAAAUCUAAGCACAAACAGACAAAAGGAAGUGCGGUCUUGUGGUUGCUAAGGAAACUGCUUGUUACGGACUUGUGGGUUAUCAGUGAGUAUCUUGUGGUGUUUUAUUAGCGGUUGGACUUUUUCAUAAAUCCGUGUACGAAUUGAAAUUGUAUUAAGUGUGGGUUGAUGUAUUAUCACAAUAUGGUUGAUGAACGGGGUGGAUCUUCACCAUGCAACUUAUAUGAAGGGUCAUGAAUACUUCUAUUCCAACUGAAUGACUUGUGAUAUCAAUACCUUGUGCUAUCUGAGCUAUAAACAUGUUGUGAUUUGCUUGAGUAGUUGGGAUGGUUGGAGACUCUAUGGAUUGUUAAAGUAGUGACUUGAGGUUGUAAAAGAAAAUUUAACUCACAGAAGAGACGACAAGUAUUGUGAUCCUGGCAGCAUCGAAUGAGGAUUGUUCCUUUUAAGGUUGAUCUCCUUAUUCAAUCGCCCAACUCUUGGAUCAUUUUUUGAAACUAAGUUCUACAUGUUUUGAGCAAUUUGGCAUAUUUUUAUGUGCCUUACCUUACCCACUGUUGUGAGAUCGGUGUAUUAUCUUUCUUCGUAAUGUGUACUUUGGGUAGGUGUGUAAUCUUCUGCGGUAUGAAAUUUCGAGGACGAAAUUUUUAUAAGGAGGGGAGAUUGUUACGUCCCGUAUCUUAAAGUACCAAUUUACUAGUUAUUUGCCCGGUAAACGGCAAUUACUUUCACUUUUACUGUCGUUUCGGUACUUUUAGUGGCCCUAAAAGUUGACUUUUAGUUCGGGUCAAAAUUUGAGAAAAUUUUCUUCAUGAAAAUUGUAGAGGACGUUAAACCGAGCGCGUGCAUAUGUGGUACGUAUAAAUUGGAGUUUGUAUGCCAAAUUUAUGAGUAUUUUUGUGUGAGGGGUAUUUUGGUCAUUUCAUCACACCUUAAUUAUAAGGGGCUGAUCAGCCCCAUUUCCAGCCAUUCUCCCCAUCCUUCACGACAGAAACCAGAAAGAAAAAAGAGAGAAAGAGAGAGAGAGAGAGAGAGAAAGAAAGAAAGAAAGAAAGAAAGAGAUCUUCCGGUGCGGAUUCCGGCAAUUUCCGGCAGCAAAAAUGUUCUUGUUGUUUUCUGGCUUGGUGGUAGUUGAAAGAAGUGUUAAGGAUGUUGAGAUGAAGCCGCUGUCAAAAUUUGGUGACCAUCGGAGGAGUUGGCCGACGAGUGAACAGUGCCGCCGAGUGAACAGUGCGGGUGACGUAUCAAAUUACUACUGGGUGAAGGAGCUCUUAUGCGUGGUUGCCUAAAUAGUACUUUUGCAGGCUAGAUUAGUUGAGGUCGGGCGUACAUGGAGUCGAGGCAUAGCCAACAGCAUUGCUUCCGCGUACUCAUUCUAUUUCUGUUUUCUGUGAUACCUAAUAGAUUAAUAUUGCUCUGAUAAGCUGUGGGAUUAAUAUUGUUUUUGGGUUGAGACUGUUAUUUGAGAAAUUGAAGUUGUGAUUUGGGGAGCAGGUGGCUCCAGGAGUAUAAGGUUGGUUUGUUUGAA
Rosa rugosa (rugosa rose) is the source of this 5259-nucleotide long non-coding RNA. RefSeq lists it as uncharacterized. The record is from RefSeq and is a predicted model, not a curated record. The transcript has 6 exons. Lineage: Eukaryota; Viridiplantae; Streptophyta; Magnoliopsida; Rosales; Rosaceae.